Molecule: ribosomal RNA, 527 nt
Filed under: uncultured bacterium
Lineage: Bacteria
Description: bacterial SSU rRNA
Rfam family: Bacterial small subunit ribosomal RNA
Source: RNAcentral
AACGUAGGAGGCGAGCGUUAUCCGGAUUUACUGGGUGUAAAGCGCGUGCAGGCGGUGGGACAAGUUAACUGUGAAAGCGCCCGGCUCAACCGGGCGAGGACAGUUAAGACUGUUUUGCUGGAGGCAGGUAGAGGUGUGUGGAAUUCCGGGUGUAGUGGUGAAAUGCGUAGAGAUCCGGAGGAACACCAGUGGCGAAGGCGACACACUGGGCCUGGCCUGACGCUCAGACGCGAAAGCAUGGGGAGCGAACGGGAUUAGAAACCCCGGUAGUCCAUGCUGUAAACGAUGCGGACUAGGUGUUGCGGGUUGAAUCCCCUGCAGUGCCGCAGCCAACGUGAUAAGUCCGCCACCUGGGGACUACGGCCGCAAGGUUAAAACUCAAAGGAAUUGACGGGGGCCCGCACAAGCAGCGGAGCGUGUGGUUUAAUUCGAGGCUACACGAAGAACCUUACCUGGGCUUGACAUGGUGGUGGUAGGGAAGCGAAAGCGGACCGACCUUCGGGAGCCAUCACAGGUGCUGCAUGGCU